GUGGGGAAUAUUGGACAAUGGGCGAAAGCCUGAUCCAGCCAUGCCGCGUGUGUGAAGAAGGUCUUCGGAUUGUAAAGCACUUUAAGUUGGGAGGAAGGGUAGUAACCUAAUACGUUGCUACUUUGACGUUACCGACAGAAUAAGCACCGGCUAACUUCGUGCCAGCAGCCGCGGUAAUACGAAGGGUGCAAGCGUUAAUCGGAAUUACUGGGCGUAAAGCGCGCGUAGGUGGUUCAGUAAGUUGAAGGUGAAAUCCCCGGGCUCAACCUGGGAACUGCCUCCAAAACUACUGAGCUAGAGUACGGUAGAGGGUAGUGGAAUUUCCUGUGUAGCGGUGAAAUGCGUAGAUAUAGGAAGGAACACCAGUGGCGAAGGCGACUACCUGGACUGAUACUGACACUGAGGUGCGAAAGCGUGGGGAGCAAACAGGAUUAGAAACCCUGGUAGUCC
RNAcentral lists this ribosomal RNA (450 nucleotides) under uncultured bacterium. RNAcentral describes it as "bacterial SSU rRNA". It matches the Rfam family "Bacterial small subunit ribosomal RNA", at positions 354 to 796 of the family's 1533-position model. The record is from RNAcentral.